RNAcentral lists this ribosomal RNA (508 nucleotides) under uncultured bacterium. RNAcentral describes it as "partial 16S ribosomal RNA". It matches the Rfam family "Bacterial small subunit ribosomal RNA", at positions 28 to 507 of the family's 1533-position model. The record is from RNAcentral.
GACGAACGCUGGCGGCGUGCUUAACACAUGCAAGUCGAACGGGCCUUGUCCCCUUUUUUUUUGGGGGUGGGGUUAGUGGCGAACGGGUGAGUAACACGUGAGUAACCUGCCCCUCACUUCUGGAUAACCGCUUGAAAGGGUGGCUAAUACGGGGUGUUCUGGCCUGCUCGCAUGGGUGGGUUUGGAAAGAUUCGACCGGUUUUGGUUGUUUUGGUGGGGGAUGGGCUCGCGGCCUAUCAGCUUGUUGGUGGGGUGAUGGCCUGCCAAGGCUUUGACGGGUGGCCGGCCUGAGAGAGUGGGCGGUCACACUGGGACUGAGACACGGCCCAGACUCCUACGGGAGGCAGCAGUGGUGAAUAUUGCACAAUUGGCGCAAGCCUGAUGCAGCGACGCCGCGUGAGGGAUGGAUGCCGUCGGGUUGGGAACCUCUUUCGCCAGUGAAGAAGGUCCUGCUCUUUGUGGUGGGGUUGACGGGAGCGGGGUUAAUGAAGCGCCGGCUAACUACGUG